UACGUAGGGUGCGAGCGUUAAUCGGAAUUACUGGGCGUAAAGCGUGCGCAGGCGGUUCGCUAAGACAGAUGUGAAAUCCCCGGGCUCAACCUGGGAAUUGCAUUUGUGACUGCCCGACUAGAGUGUGUCAGAGGGGGGUAGAAUUCCACGUGUAGCAGUGAAAUGCGUAGAGAUGUGGAGGAAUACCGAUGGCGAAGGCAGCCCCCUGGGAUAACACUGACGCUCAUGCACGAAAGCGUGGGGAGCAAACAGG
Molecule: ribosomal RNA, 253 nt
Filed under: uncultured bacterium
Lineage: Bacteria
Description: partial 16S ribosomal RNA
Rfam family: Bacterial small subunit ribosomal RNA
Source: RNAcentral